GGGUUAACGAUUGGAGAAUUUGUUUGAGGUUUCAAGAGGGAAGCAUUUGACAAUGAGGAGUUUGAGAUGAUGGUGGGGCACUCCCUCACCAUUUAAGAACUAAUGCGGAUGCAUUAUAAAGACUAUUCCAAUGUAAGUGGCUCCAAAAUGAAGAAGAAAGGAGGGAACCAAUUGAAGAGUAUCAAGAGUGUCACAAAUUUCAUUGUCAAGAAUAGGGAUCGGCAAAGCACGAUGAGAUAGACACCUCGUUGGAGAAGGCAUCCAAUAGUCAAUCUCUUCCAUCAACGACAACUAGAACAUGGAAUUUCAUAGAUCAAAGAGGGUGAUGUCACUUUAUAUGAACCAAGAUAUUCAAGCACAUAAUGUGUCUAUUUUGAGUAGUUUGGGUGGAAAGUAUUUAGCGAGUAAUUUGAGGAUUAAGUGAUUCAUGUAUGACGGGUGGUGAAAGAGAGAGAAAGGAGUAAUUGCCUUUAGAAAAAAGGAGGACUUAUUAUGUUAGGUCUACAAACAUCCUUGAGUUGGACUUACUAUGUUAAGUAUCCUAAUGUUUGUCAUAAUAAGUCAAUUUACUAUAUCAAGCUUAUCAAUACAUGUUAUACUAUGUUGACCUUAGUAUAUCUUUUUCAUCCACACUCAAUCUUUAUUUACAUUUUGUUUACUCAUUUCUUUAAUCUAAAUUCUUCUCUUUUAUAUUUUUUGUUCAUACUCAUAUCCUUCAUCCACAUUUGUUCCUUCAUAUAUACUCAUAUCCUUUAUUCAUUAUAAUGUAUUUUUUAUUUUUUUU
This 784-nucleotide long non-coding RNA is filed under the name Vigna radiata. Its description in RNAcentral is "long non-coding RNA (VRAD_LNC001457)". Lineage: Eukaryota; Viridiplantae; Streptophyta; Magnoliopsida; Fabales; Fabaceae. The record is from RNAcentral.